UUGAACGCUGGCGGCAUGCCUAACACAUGCAAGUCGAACGCGAAAGGGGGCAACCCCCGAGUAGAGUGGCGGACGGGUGAGUAAUACGUAGGAAUCUGCCCAAUAGUGGGGGACAACUUAGGGAAACUUAAGCUAAUACCGCAUACGCACUACGGUGGAAAGCAGGGGAUCGCAAGACCUUGCGCUAAAUGGAGGAGCCUACGUCUGAUUAGCUAGUUGGUAGGGUAACGGCCUACCAAGGCGACGAUCAGUAGCUG
Molecule: ribosomal RNA, 257 nt
Filed under: uncultured bacterium
Lineage: Bacteria
Description: partial 16S ribosomal RNA
Rfam family: Bacterial small subunit ribosomal RNA
Source: RNAcentral